Amblyraja radiata (thorny skate) is the source of this 327-nucleotide long non-coding RNA. RefSeq lists it as uncharacterized. The record is from RefSeq and is a predicted model, not a curated record. NCBI's taxonomy places the organism in Eukaryota, Metazoa, Chordata, Chondrichthyes, Rajiformes, Rajidae. The transcript has 3 exons.
CAGGCAGCCAGAGUUUGAGGCAGCCGUGGAGCUCCAUAAGGAGCUAGAAUUCAUAAAUUGUGGCUGCCGGCUGCAAGGUCUAUUAUUGCUGCAGGAGGUUUCCAGCAGUCGCUGUUCCAUAAUCCCAAAUGAAACCAAUGGAGUCACAAACUCAGGCUGAGGUUUUAAAAGCUACAGAUCUGAGAACAGAUUACACAGUGUAAAUCGUGGAAGGUCCUCUGAAAGACACUAUACCCACCAGCGCUAACAAACUUGAGCAAGCUCCAGGCAAUCUGGCCAUACCACCCAUUUUGGGAAACACUACAUUUGCAGACUUAGUUACCUGGU